GGAGCCGGGCGGGAGGGCGAGGGCUGGUGCGAGGAGGAUGCGCGGGGAGUGGGGCAGCCCCAGGGCCCCGCCUCUGCAGCGGAUUUGCCGGGUUUGUUUAACAGUCAGUGUCUUCAGGGCUGCAGAGAACGGAGGCGAUCGGGACACGUCAGGCCCUGGGCUGAGCUGGCCGUGAAUGUAGCUGAGCAGAAUGACUGGCUGCGCCUUCACACGCCCCAUUUUGCAUCAGUCUUAACCAUUUACGCUUACCAAGUGCGUUUCCCCUUCUCCAAUACAGAGUGAAGUUUUGAAAGCAACUCCGUUGUGCUAGUGCGUGAUUGCCAAGGAAAAGGUUUGGAGCGGAAAUGGAACUCUAAAGAUUAAUAUUGAGGAAGCUGCACUGAACAUGAUGAAAGGAAGAUGUCUGGACAUGCAGUAUCUUCAGGAGAAUCCAGGAUUCUGAAGACUAUCCACCUUCAAGAUCACCAUCAUCUUCU
Long non-coding RNA from Mauremys mutica (yellowpond turtle), 476 nucleotides. RefSeq lists it as uncharacterized. The transcript is spliced from 4 exons. The record is from RefSeq and is a predicted model, not a curated record. NCBI's taxonomy places the organism in Eukaryota, Metazoa, Chordata, Testudines, Geoemydidae.